UACGAAGGGGGCUAGCGUUGCUCGGAAUCACUGGGCGUAAAGGGUGCGUAGGCGGGUCUUUAAGUCAGGGGUGAAAUCCCGGGGCUCAACCCCGGAACCGCCUUUGAUACUGGGCGUCUGGAGUCCGGAAGAGGUUGGUGGAAUUCCGAGUGUAGAGGUGAAAUUCGUAGAUAUUCGGAGGAACACCAGAGGCGAAGGCGGCCAACUGGUCCGGUACUGACGCUGAGGCGCGAAAGCGUGGGGAGCAAACAGG
Molecule: ribosomal RNA, 253 nt
Filed under: uncultured bacterium
Lineage: Bacteria
Description: partial 16S ribosomal RNA
Rfam family: Bacterial small subunit ribosomal RNA
Source: RNAcentral